Long non-coding RNA from Lethenteron reissneri (Far Eastern brook lamprey), 3756 nucleotides. RefSeq lists it as uncharacterized. The record is from RefSeq and is a predicted model, not a curated record. NCBI's taxonomy places the organism in Eukaryota, Metazoa, Chordata, Hyperoartia, Petromyzontiformes, Petromyzontidae.
GUGCGUGCCGGUGAAGGUUUGCAGGGUCACCAGGACCGGUUUGGAUACCACUCGUCGCAAAUGUUAACCGCGGCCGGCAAAUCGAACUCAAGCGGCGGAAAUUCAUCGCUCACUGCACUAAACACUAAGCUGCUUACCUAUCCUACCACUGUCAUUGAUACCGUUGUAAUCACCUCGUCCGUAUGUUUUUGUUUUUUUUACAGUAAAUUAUACGAUGUGUGCUGUUUCGAGUACUAUGGUGUAAAGUAGCAUUGCACUGUGGAUCCUGGGUACCUGACCUUCUGUUUUCGGCCACAGCGAACAUGAGGUGGCAAGCGAUGAUCUAAACCAGUUCCACCACCCCAAGCCUGCACGAACAAUCACGAUGAAGUAUGGUUAAACAACCCCCAGUGAGCGACGAGGCGUGGAGAGGUGUCCGUCUAGCAGUGAAUUGAGGCACACUCAAGUUUCCUCCCACGUGCCAGAAGUCUCAUGAAUGGAAUUCGCCAAGCAUCCCGAUGCAGGCCCUUGUGUAAAAGGAAAAAAAUGUAUUUUCGUGCCGCUGCGUGGGGUUUCACGCUCGCGCUGCGCACGUUGAGGCAACAAUCCUGAAAAAAAGACAUCGCAGAGUUGAGCUUCUUCACCUCCAGACAAGCCGUCCUGCGUAAAUAAUACUACAACAACAGCAGCAACAACAACAACAAGAACAGCACCGUAUAAAUUGCGAGCGUUCAACAUUUCUGCCGUGUCGGGACGAGCAUUUGAAUGCGCCACGUUGUACGUCGAACUUCUUUCGCACCUUUCGAUUUAAAGCUUUCGUGACUGCAGGGAUUCAUGUUCUUGGUUUCUUUCGGUAAAGUCACAUAGAAGGGAAAUAAUAACAAAUAAUAAAAAUAAAACAACAUAAUAAAAUUCUCACGACGUUUCGGCCACAACGCAAGCAGCCGUCCUCAGGUGAAGAAACAGAGCUGUCGGAAAGACGGCGUCUUAAUGAACACUGCUAAUCUCGUCGUGAGAAUUUUAUUAUAUUAUGUUGAAUUUUUAUUACUUUAUUAUUUCCCUUCUACGUGACUUUACCGAAAGAACCAAUAAUAUUCUUUCGCACCGUACGUAGCCACCCGCACGAAUCAGCGGUGCGCGGGAAGGACGACGUUUGAUAACAUGAAUUCGAUUUGGACGGAAGCGACAUUUAUUUGACACGAGCCCUCUAUAUCAAUGUCACCUAUUUUUUUUUAUCAUAUUAGACCUUUUAAAUCAUUUAUUUACAGCCCUUUAAUCCGUGCAGGUCUGAUUAUAACCGACUUUAAUCCAAAGAUGAUGUUAUUAAGGCCUUGCAUUACAUUACCAUGCGAGGUGUAUUCACAAAGCAUCUAAAUACAGCUGCUUUGUACAAAGCAUUUUGACAUGCGCAUCAAGUAGACGGUAACAUUUACAUUGUGUAUACAUGCAUGUUUUACUUCUUUCGCAUCGUACGUAGCCAUUUACAUUGUGUAUACAUGCAUGUUUUGCUUCUUUCGCAUCGUACGUAGCCAACCAUACUAAGAGUGAGUUUGUUAUAGGCGUAAGUUAGUCAGUUAUAGCCAAAAGAGAAGAGAGAGGUCUUGAGUCUGGAUUUGAGCAGUUGCGCAGAGUUAACAUCACAAAUAAACAAAAACGAAACUAUUUUUAUUUUACCAGGUAAGGCCCACUGAGCUACAGAGCCCCUUUUUAAGAAGCAACCUGGACACAAGUGAUAGCUCAACGAAGUGGCUUAUCACGUGGAAAUUUAUCGCAGACAAUUUUUCUAAAACACGUUUCUAAAUAUGGAAGGAAAAACCGGAGGACCCGGAGAAAAAUCGACACGACCACGCGGAGAACAAACUCCAAAUAUACAGCAGGGGUCAGGGUCGGGAUCAAACCCACGAUCUCCUGUAUACCAGGGGAGGUAGUGAACAUACUCUUAGUUGUUUCGGUAAAGUCACGUAGGUAAACAAUGAAAUUAAAAUUCAUAAAAAUAAAAUAAUAAACAUCACGACGUGCCUCCGAAAAGUCGUAAUUUUUAUCAUUUUAUUUUUAUUAAUUUUAAUUUCAUUGUUUACCUACGUGACUUUACCGAAAAAACUACGAGUAUGAAUCCUUGCAGUCACGAAAGCUUCAAAUCUAGAGGUAGUGAACGUCUUUCCACCGUGGCACUCUCCCCUCAGAUGACAGGAGGGGAGGAAGUUUCAUAUUGUGGCUGGCAACAGAUGAGGAGGAGCGACAAUCAACGUCUGCUCUAGUCCCAUGACGGCAGUGCGAUGUGCAAUGGCAUUGAACUAAGAGGUCACGGACCUGCCGAUGAGACUCGGUGAAGUCGAGUUGCCCUGCUUCAACAUACGCUCCUUGGGAUACAUUAAUCUGCGAGGCCUGCCACUCAACGGAUGAAAAUGUAGCAUUUGCUCGAAAACCGUUUCGCCACUUCUUGCCCGACAUUUAAGAGCAAAGCAAGGCUGUGAACAUGCCAAAGAACACAAGGGCGUAUUAAAGGGUUGGGGGGGGGGGAGACUUUAAAAUUAAAAUCUCUGACCUCUUUCGGUGGGGACCCGUCUGGUUUACGGGCAGCGGCUUCGUUCCCCAUCUUUAUAUCCCCCUGGCUUUUAAUAACCGGUUGAGUCUAUGUUGAGGCUGCCGUACGCGCGUCGCAACGCCAUGUAAUGGUUCCGUGUGCAUUGCUUCGACAUUCUUUUCGCGGGGGAGUUUGGGGGGGAAUUUCUGUAUCACAAGAGAGCGUCGAGGUGUGUGGAGCCUUGCCAAGAAUCCACUGGGAAGGAAUGCGGGCAGAUGUUCCACUGCGAGCCAGCGGCAGCAGCGGAUGUCCUGAUCGUACCUGUGAUUAUUGCGGGGCAUUAGUUCUGCUCAGGGCACAUCGCGCGGCACGAGCAGGUAAGCGGACCCGGUCCCCCUUCAAACAUCACGGCCAGUUCUACUCAGCCCUUCACCCGGUCAGAGAGAGUGAGGCAUUUACAAAAAUGUUUGCAUUGGUUUGAACAAACGCGAAAUGGUCAGCUUGUUCGAGGGUUUUUUUUCCGUGCAAUUGUAUUUUUCCCACAAGCCUUGCAUAUUACGUGUAUAUUAUAGCCAUAAACACGCAUCAUCAUAGGCCACUGUCGAUCCACUGCUAGAUUAAUCAACGCGUCCCGCACGCCGUAGUCAACGGUUCCAUGCCGCCACUCUCGAUCUCACUCCUGCACGUGAGCUGACCUCCACGCCGCAUCUCAGCGGCGAUGGUCCUCUUAGGCGCGUUCCCUCCUUUGGGUGCCAUCCCCUCACGAGUCUCGUCCAUCAGCCAUCGUCUCUUUGUGCCCUGGGUUGCACUACUACCCCCCAUCCGCUUCGAUCCCAACCCUGACGCCUGCUGCUGUAUAUUUGGAUUUUGCAUGUCUCUCUCGCCGUGGUCGCGUGGAUUUUUUUUCUUUCUCCAAGUCCUCCGGUUUUUCCCUCCACAAUUUACAAACAAUGCGUCGAUAUUAUUUAGAUGACAAGCCACUUCGUUAUGCUAGUACUUGUGGCCAGGUCGCUUCUGAAAAACAAGCUAAUGGCUCAGUCAACAUUACCUGGUAUAAUACAAAAUAGUUUAGUUUCAUUUGCAUACAUCUUUUUUAAGUGAUUUGCUAAACCAUGUUAUAUACUUUGCACUCCUAUCAUGCUGUUGUAUCGUUUCUUGUUGCUACGUUCUGGCCUUCCCUAUUGGACAUCGGUGAAAAAGAUCUUCAUAGCUCGUCGAAUUCCUCCGGUAUAAAUAAAUAUUUCUGAUUCUGA